Dicentrarchus labrax (European seabass) is the source of this 3070-nucleotide long non-coding RNA. RefSeq lists it as uncharacterized. The record is from RefSeq and is a predicted model, not a curated record. Lineage: Eukaryota; Metazoa; Chordata; Actinopteri; Moronidae. The transcript is spliced from 2 exons.
ACAAGACGGCCACCCCUGCACAUGCUCAGUGCGCCUCCUGUAACGCCCCUGUGGGUUGGUUUUAAGGUGCAGCAGGAGGAGGACGAGAGGAAACCUACAAGCAGAUUGUUUUAGAUAAAAACCUCCAGAACAACAGGUCUGGAUCUGAUGGAGACACAGCGACAGGUUUCUGACAACAGCUCAAACUUAAAGUGAAGCUCGGUUUAACUGAGAGAGAAAAUGUAACACACUAAAUAUAUGAUAUUAAAUAAUAUCUGCUCUCACUCAGACAGCAGGAAGUAAAUAAUCAUUCAACUGGAACUGUAGAGAAUAAAGUUUAAUGUUAGAACUGUUAGAACACUGACUGAUGAUUAGUAAUGAGCUAUAUGGACGAUAUCUCAGCAGCUGAUUGGGACACUGUUGGAGGUUUGGGGAGAUGAGUCAUUGGCAGAGGAUGCAGCUGUGCAGCCAAUCAGCUGCUGUAAUAAUAUUAUAAUGAUAAUAAUGAUAAUAAUGGUAACUGUCAGUGUGUAGCUGCUGGGGACUCGAACUGUUCCAUCAUUAAACUCUGGGUUCACAGUACAGUCACAAUCUGUCUCAUACAGUUUAAGAUCUUUGAGUUGAAGAAUUAUUGAGUAACUUGGCGGCAUGAAGCUAACUGCUAACAUUGUCCAACCUUAUGUUGUAGUUUGUGAAUCUUCCCAAACUCUGCUAUAUAUAUAUUUAUAUUUAUAUAUUUAUAUAUAUUGUGACACUGUGGUUGGCUGUCGGUCUUCAACUGACAUUAUUUACCUUUUAUUUAUUUAUAAAUCUGCUUAACACGCGAAGGACAAUGUUUAUUUUAUUUAUUCUAUUUAGACACAAAACAUGUAAAUUCAACAAUAAAAUCUUUAAAGAUUAAAAGAUGAGUAAACAAACACUGAAUUAUAAUUAAAGUUGUAUUAAUACAAAUAAGAUUAAGCUAAUAUAGCUAAAUGCUAACAUUAAAAGUUCAUCAGAUUGAUAAAGUUGGUUUUGAUGAUGCUAACCGCUAACUGCUAACAAUAACUAGUUUAAAGAAUGACACUAAUAUAGCUCGCGGCUAACGGCAGCUAAUGUUGAUGUAGUUGGUUAAUAAAUUGAUUAAGCUAAUAGCUGUAAACAGCUAGCUAAUAAUUACAGUGCAGUAGAUGGUGUAAAGUGCUAACCGCUAGCUCUACAUGUUAGCUGACACUGCUAAUUGCUAAUGACAAGAAAAUACUCAACGCUAAUAUUAGCUUAGAGGCUAGGCUAACAUAGCUAGCUGCAAGCCUGAGCUAACAUUGAUAGAGUCAGAAGCUAAUGUAGCUCAGUGCUAAUGACUCAAUAAUAUUUAAUAUUAUAAUCGGUUUGAAUAUUGAUCGCUAACAGUAAUUGUUAUGGUUGCUCACUGCUAACACUAGCUAACAUUAUGAACCUCACUAGUUAUUGUUGUUGGGUUAGCGAUUAUAGCUAGCUGUAAUGUAACUCCAUGCUAACGUGACUUUUAACGUAAUGACGCCAGUAGGUUUGGAGGUUAAGCUAACACAGCUAGCUAUAAAGUUAAACAUUAGCUUUUUUAUGUUGAGUUGAAGCUAAUGUAGCUCAGUGCUAAUGUUAGCUAACAUGUCGCUGUUGUCAGUUGAAUCUUUAGUUUUUAGUCUCCGUCAGAUCCAAACGUCAGAAUUUACACUUUCAUAUUUAAAUUAGUCUUUUUCAUCUUUAUUGUGUUCGACGGACGUUAGCAGACGUUAGCGACGGACGUUAGCAGACGUUAGCAGACGUUAGCAACGGACGUUAGCAGACGUUAGCAACGGACGUUAGCAGACGUUAGCAACGGACGUUAGCAACGGACGUUAGCAGACGUUAGCAACGGACGUUAGCAACGGACGUUAGCGACAGACGUUAGCGACAGACGUCACGAGAUGAAGACAAACGUCGGCCAAACCCUGAACUCUGUCUGAGGAUCAUUGUCUUCAGUUCCUCAGCUGACAGACGGACGUCGCUGUUUCUGUUCUUUGUACACAAGAUUGUUUUUAUCUGCACCUUCAUAUUAUUCUCUUAUUACAGUCUGAGCUCUGAUCACCUCCUGAUUGAUCCAAUCUGAGGGCUGAUUACGAAAUUAAUUACUACAGAAGAAAAAAACACAACUGCACAAAAUCAGUUUUACUUUGUAAUAAAUCAGAACAUCGACAGUUUCUUGUUCCCUACGCUGUAACGCCACCGCUCUUUAGUUCCCUACACUGUAACACAGACACACUCUAGUUCCCUACGCUGUUACGCCAGCAGUCUGUAGUUCCCUACGCUGUAACGCCACAGCUCUCUAGUUCCCUACACUGUAACACAGACACACUCUAGUUCCCUACUCUGUAACGCCACCGCUCUUUAGUUCCCUACGCUGUAACACAGACACUCUCUAGUUCCCUACGCUGUAACGGCAGCAGUCUGUAGUUCCCUACACUGUAACACAGACACUCUCUAGUUCCCUACGCUGUAACGGCAGCAGUCUGUAGUUCCCUACACUGUAACACAGACACACUCUAGUUCCCUACUCUGUAACGCCACCGCUCUUUAGUUCCCUACGCUGUAACACAGACACACUCUAGUUCCCUACACUGUAACGCCACCGCUCUUUAGUUCCCUACGCUGUAACACAGACACUCUCUAGUUCCCUACGCUGUAACGGCAGCAGUCUGUAGUUCCCUACGCUGUAACACAGACACUCUCUAGUUCCCUACGCUGUAACGGCAGCAGUCUGUAGUUCCCUACGCUGUAACACAGACACUCUCUAGUUCCCUACGCUGUAACGCCAGCAGCCUGUAGUUCCCUACGCGGUGCAGCCUGAAGGUCCUGAGGUAAUUGGAAGAUCAGGUGGUGACUGUAGCUCCGACUGUCUCUCUCCUCGUGUUUCUGUUGCAUUCUGGGACAUUUUUAUGGUGACAGGGUGAACUGAUCUGACACUAAAACACUGAGUGUGUCCUGCAGUCACACUGUCAGUUUUUAUCUUUAGUAAAUGUAUGUGUACAAAUAUAUUCUGUAAAUAUAUACAUAUAUACAUAAAUAUAUAUGAGGGGCUGGGGCGUGUGUUGCCAUG